RNAcentral lists this microRNA precursor (60 nucleotides) under Chrysemys picta bellii (western painted turtle). Its description in RNAcentral is "Cpi-Mir-19-P2c_pre stem-loop". It matches the Rfam family "mir-19 microRNA precursor family", at positions 11 to 71 of the family's 79-position model. Rfam says of the family: The hairpin precursors (represented here) are predicted based on base pairing and cross-species conservation -- their extents are not known. Lineage: Eukaryota; Metazoa; Chordata; Testudines; Emydidae. The record is from RNAcentral.
AGUUUUGCAGGAUUGCAUUCCAGCUUAUUUCAAACGCUGUGCAAAUCCAUGCAAAACUGA